This is a non-coding RNA of Parasteatoda tepidariorum (common house spider), 754 nucleotides long. The record is from RefSeq and is a predicted model, not a curated record. Lineage: Eukaryota; Metazoa; Arthropoda; Arachnida; Araneae; Theridiidae.
AUAUUUACACAGCUGUCUUUUUUUAACUAUGGUUUUACUAAAGCAACUAUUUUUCUUAUAGGAAAGAGCUAUGGUGUUAAAUGAUCAGUAUAAUAAAGUACAUUAAAAUACAGGACAGGAUGUUGUCUUUAUGAAGGAAAAUAGUAUUGUGUGAUUCAUCAUAGCUCUGGAUUAUUUUGCUCAGUUGUCCGAGGGCCCGUUUGGAUGUUUUUAACAUGGUUAAUCGAGUGUGAGAACUGCUAGACAUAUUUAGAUGCUGACAUAUCAAAUUGGAACAAUUUUGACGACUCUUAAAACUUUUGCUGUAAAGAAAUAGUGCAGAAACCACUUCAAAAUUACCAAGGAGAAUAACAUUGAAAAAAAAACUUUCGAAAACUUCCUGAAAUACGAUUUCAACCAUGAUUCGACAUCUUAGCUUUUUAAGGGAUCUUAAACGGAAUAGACUUGUAACAGUGAUUGCUGAAAUCGAUAAGUCGCAGAAGUAUUCAGAAGAUUAUGGUUUGCUAUAAUUCUACGUAUGCCACCUUUGUCGUUGCGUUAUUUCUAUUUAUCUAAGAACAAUUCAAUUUAAAAUUUUCAUGAAACUGAAAGUGUGAACAUUCAAUUCACUUCACCGGAGAGAUUUGAUUGCGAAACUUUCAUUGAAAGAGGAUCAUUAACUAUGAGGUUAAACGUGAACAACUUUCGUGCAUAUAAAGACCGAAGUCUGUAAAUGCAGCCAAGAUAACUUAUUAAAAUUUUUGUUUAUACUUUA